Molecule: non-coding RNA, 377 nt
Organism: Cinara cedri
Lineage: Eukaryota; Metazoa; Arthropoda; Insecta; Hemiptera; Aphididae
Source: the annotation of a GenBank genome assembly
CGCGCGUAACGCGUAUAGUGUACCUAACCCAUAACCGCAAACGUAUACCGACACACAUUUCCCACUCCCAUCUCCGGACAGUGAAUAAUUUUCCAUUGAUGUACACAACUCUGAAUAUUGAAAUACAUAAUAAUAUCCAUCUUAUACAAUAAUUACAAAUGAUUUUUUUUUUUUUUUUUUGCGAAACUAUAAUAAUGCGCAAUUAUUCCUUUUUCAUUAGUUUUCUUCUUGUCCCAACUACCACGUUUGGGAUCGGGCACCGUCGUCCCUAAGCUUCCGCUCGACGACCAAAUCUCCCGUCUCACGUACACUGCAGUCAUCUGUCUUUGGCUGUUCUCAGUGGCGUACAUACGGGAGGAGGAGGUUUCGGAUUCAAU